This 253-nucleotide ribosomal RNA is filed under the name uncultured bacterium. RNAcentral describes it as "partial 16S ribosomal RNA". It matches the Rfam family "Bacterial small subunit ribosomal RNA", at positions 524 to 776 of the family's 1533-position model. The record is from RNAcentral.
UACGUAGGGUGCGAGCGUUGUCCGGAAUUAUUGGGCGUAAAGAGCUUGUAGGCGGUUUGUCGCGUCCGCUGUGAAAUCUCAAGGCUCAACCUUGAGCUUGCAGUGGGUACGGGCAGACUAGAGUGUGGUAGGGGAGACUGGAAUUCCUGGUGUAGCGGUGAAAUGCGCAGAUAUCAGGAGGAACACCGAUGGCGAAGGCAGGUCUCUGGGCCACUACUGACGCUGAGAAGCGAAAGCAUGGGGAGCGAACAGG